This 389-nucleotide ribosomal RNA is filed under the name Escherichia coli. RNAcentral describes it as "partial 16S ribosomal RNA". It matches the Rfam family "Bacterial small subunit ribosomal RNA", at positions 1145 to 1533 of the family's 1533-position model. RNAcentral also lists the same sequence under 4 other names. Lineage: Bacteria; Pseudomonadati; Pseudomonadota; Gammaproteobacteria; Enterobacterales; Enterobacteriaceae. The record is from RNAcentral.
GAGACUGCCAGUGAUAAACUGGAGGAAGGUGGGGAUGACGUCAAGUCAUCAUGGCCCUUACGACCAGGGCUACACACGUGCUACAAUGGCGCAUACAAAGAGAAGCGACCUCGCGAGAGCAAGCGGAGCUCAUAAAGUGCGUCGUAGUCCGGAUUGGAGUCUGCAACUCGACUCCAUGAAGUCGGAAUCGCUAGUAAUCGUGGAUCAGAAUGCCACGGUGAAUACGUUCCCGGGCCUUGUACACACCGCCCGUCACACCAUGGGAGUGGGUUGCAAAAGAAGUAGGUAGCUUAACCUUCGGGAGGGCGCUUACCACUUUGUGAUUCAUGACUGGGGUGAAGUCGUAACAAGGUAACCGUAGGGGAACCUGCGGUUGGAUCACCUCCUUA